GGAGAAGUAUCGAAGUGGUCAUAACGAGCCGCACUCGAAAUGCGGUGUACCAUAUGGUACCGUGGGUUCGAAUCCCACCUUCUCCGCCA
RNAcentral lists this transfer RNA (89 nucleotides) under Bacillota bacterium. RNAcentral's name for it is "tRNA-Ser". It matches the Rfam family "tRNA". Rfam says of the family: Transfer RNA (tRNA) molecules are approximately 80 nucleotides in length. Their secondary structure includes four short double-helical elements and three loops (D, anti-codon, and T loops). Further hydrogen bonds mediate the characteristic L-shaped molecular structure. tRNAs have two regions of fundamental functional importance: the anti-codon, which is responsible for specific mRNA codon recognition, and the 3' end, to which the tRNAs corresponding amino acid is attached (by aminoacyl-tRNA synthetases). tRNAs cope with the degeneracy of the genetic code in two manners: having more than one tRNA (with a specific anti-codon) for a particular amino acid; and 'wobble' base-pairing, i.e. permitting non-standard base-pairing at the 3rd anti-codon position. Lineage: Bacteria; Bacillati; Bacillota. The record is from RNAcentral.